RNAcentral lists this transfer RNA (74 nucleotides) under Bacillota bacterium. RNAcentral describes it as "Firmicutes bacterium (gut metagenome) tRNA-Gly". It matches the Rfam family "tRNA". Rfam says of the family: Transfer RNA (tRNA) molecules are approximately 80 nucleotides in length. Lineage: Bacteria; Bacillati; Bacillota. The record is from RNAcentral. RNAcentral also lists the same sequence under 1 other name.
GCAGAAGUAGUUCAGUGGUAGAACAUUAGCUUCCCAAGCUAAGAAUGCGGGUUCGAUUCCCGUCUUCUGCUCCA